This 587-nucleotide ribosomal RNA is filed under the name Aspergillus fumigatus. Its description in RNAcentral is "eukaryotic LSU rRNA". It matches the Rfam family "Eukaryotic large subunit ribosomal RNA", at positions 70 to 669 of the family's 3401-position model. The record is from RNAcentral. Lineage: Eukaryota; Fungi; Ascomycota; Eurotiomycetes; Eurotiales; Aspergillaceae.
UGGGCAAWUUGCCCYMGUAACGGCGAGUGAAGCGGCAAGAGCUCAAAUUUGAAAGCUGGCCCCUUCGGGGUCCGCGUUGUAAUUUGCAGAGGAUGCUUCGGGUGCAGCCCCCGUCUAAGUGCCCUGGAACGGGCCGUCAUAGAGGGUGAGAAUCCCGUCUGGGACGGGGUGUCUGCGUCCGUGUGAAGCUCCUUCGACGAGUCGAGUUGUUUGGGAAUGCAGCUCUAAAUGGGUGGUAAAUUUCAUCUAAAGCUAAAUACUGGCCGGAGACCGAUAGCGCACAAGUAGAGUGAUCGAAAGAUGAAAAGCACUUUGAAAAGAGAGUUAAACAGCACGUGAAAUUGUUGAAAGGGAAGCGUUUGCGACCAGACUCGCCCGCGGGGUUCAGCCGGCAUUCGUGCCGGUGUACUUCCCCGUGGGCGGGCCAGCGUCGGUUUGGGCGGCCGGUCAAAGGCCCUCGGAAUGUAUCACCUCUCGGGGUGUCUUAUAGCCGAGGGUGCAAUGCGGCCUGCCUGGACCGAGGAACGCGCUUCGGCUCGGACGCUGGCGUAAUGGUCGUAAAUGACCCGUCUUGAAACACGGACMCA